This 302-nucleotide ribosomal RNA is filed under the name uncultured bacterium. RNAcentral describes it as "partial 16S ribosomal RNA". It matches the Rfam family "Bacterial small subunit ribosomal RNA", at positions 508 to 808 of the family's 1533-position model. The record is from RNAcentral.
GCAGUAGCCGCGGGAAUACGUAGGUCCCGAGCGUUGUCCGGAUUUAUUGGGCGUAAAGCGAGCGCGGGCGGUUAGAUAAGUCUGAAGUUAAAGGCUGUGGCUUAACCAUAGUACGCUUUGGAAACUGUUUAACUUGAGUGCAAGAGGGGAGAGUGGAAUUCCAUGUGUAGCGGUGAAAUGCGUAGAUAUAUGGAGGAACACCGGUGGCGAAAGCGGCUCUCUGGCUUGUAACUGACGCUGAGGCUCGAAAGCGUGGGGAGCAAACAGGAUUAGAUACCCGGGUAGUCCCUGUCUCUUAUACC